Molecule: long non-coding RNA, 339 nt
Filed under: Elaeis guineensis (African oil palm)
Lineage: Eukaryota; Viridiplantae; Streptophyta; Magnoliopsida; Arecales; Arecaceae
Description: long non-coding RNA (EGUI_LNC036440)
Source: RNAcentral
UGGUUUGCAUCAAAUUUUAUUAUUUUAAUUAUAUUUAAACUCUCGAUUUAGCUUGGAGUUUAACCAUUAUGGCCCAAAAUUUGCACUCACACAUCCAAACACUAGAUAUUAAUAAAGGUGAAUUUCAUUCAUUUAUAUCAAACAAUUACAAAGUUUGGAUUGUAGAAGGAAAAGAAAAGAGAUAUAGGUUAUUGCCUCGAAGCACCACCAAGAUGGCUUGCUUCAGAAUGGCCUCCUUUAGCAUUAGUAACUUCAUCAAUUUGGACGGCCACAUUGAUGUUGUUCUUCUCAGCAAAGUGGUGAGAUAUCCUAGCAAACUUUUUCAUGCUAUCCGCCGCU